RNAcentral lists this unclassified non-coding RNA (1050 nucleotides) under Leishmania donovani. RNAcentral describes it as "gene:unknown". The record is from RNAcentral. Lineage: Eukaryota; Euglenozoa; Kinetoplastea; Trypanosomatida; Trypanosomatidae.
CCCUGUCCCUCCUUCCCACCACAAUCCAAGCGAGCUUGACGUAGGCGAUCGCACCACUGCCGUCGCACAGCCGCCUCAGCCCUCGUGCACAUGUGGGUGUAUUCGCGCGUGUGCGCGUGUGUCUCUCAGCGUUUGCAGGCGUGUAUGGACGGAUUCGAUAUGAAAACAAAUCAACACUCAAGUAGACCCGACGAGGGCGAAGGACAUCGUGAUGGAGGGCGCGGCAGCAGCAGACCUCAGCUCCCUUGCCCCUUGCCCCGCUUCCUUACCAGUGACGCACGCGCGUACCCGCGCCACGACAUGUCCUCGAAAAGCUCUAUGAGGCGUGAAGAGUGAAGGGCAGAGGAAGAGGACGCGCAAACCAGUGCUUCCGAGCAGACAUUCCAGCGCCCCCUCAUUCUCGGCCUCGCCUACCUCCUCGACAACUGCAGCGUGGUGGGGCGGGCGAGGAGCGCCACCAAAUCUCUCCACGACGCGGCGAACAGCGAGCGGAGCAGCUACACACACUCUCAGGCAGACGCGCGUUCGCGCGUGUAGGUGUGUCGUUUUGCGUAUCCACACUGCUCAGCAGCAGUUCUGUGGCGUACGGGCUGCGCUCUUUCCCCCUCCUCUUACAAUCUGCAAGAUCGGUGCGACUCACACGGUAUACGGCGAAUCAGUGCCACACACGAGCCACUCCCACCUCCCUCUCCUUGCGGACGUGAGGAGUGUGCAGGCGUUCGCACAAGCACGAUCUCGACGGGUGAGCGUUGAUGUGCACCUUCUGGGACUGAUACGAGCGGGCAGGGAAUAGAGCUGGAGAGAUAGCGAGAGGUGAUUUGUGGAGUGCGGUGGGCUGAUUGACACCUAUCUGAUGCCUUCUUUCUCUGCUCGCACACAUAAGGGCGAAGAAGAGGCUGGUUCUCGCGUGGUGCGCCGCUCCGACGUGUCAGCGCCAUGCUACGGCCUGCAAGCGCCCCCACACCUUCCGCUUCCCUUUUCUUCUCACCUUCUCUUGACUUUCCAUUCACGGUAUAUAUAUAUAUAUAUAUAUAUUUCGUUGCUGCGUAG